GCAGCUGUGGCCAGUGAAGGUAACUGGGAUAAAAGGGGGUGGGCUUGGCCAGGCAGGGAGUGCCUGGAAGGGGCCCUGGCUGAGAAGCAGCAACAGGCAGAGGAAGGAGUCUGUGCUGUGAAGAACUGCCCCCAAGAAAUAUCACUGAGAAGCUUGUGCUCAGCUGAGGAUCAUCCGCUGCCUGCAUUCCAUUUGUGUCCUGCAGGAUCUCAGCUGGGGGCUCCUGCCUCGCUCUGUGCCUCUGUACACUUGUGCAGCCACUUCCCAGAGCAAGCAGAACCUGCUGUGGAACCAGGUGCCGCUGCAAAAUCACCCUAUCCUGAGAUGUGAGAACCAUCUGAAAACCAGUGGAAUUUGCAGAAAUGAAAAUGAAGUGUUUUCCACAUUUCAAGCCUUUGGAAGAUUGCUGAUGCAGCUUUCCAGCAAGGAAGAAAUGGAGAGACCAAAGGGCUCCUGGAACUGUGACCAUUCCUCUGGGCUCAGCUCCCUCUGGCAAUGAUCCCCCAGCAAUCUCAGGGCACGGCCUGGCCAGGAUCCUGCAGCAGCCGGCUCUGGGAGCACCUGGAACAUCCCUCUUCUCCCAGGCAUGGAUCCUGGCACCAUUGUAAGUGCUGAAAGUCACGGACUAUAAAGAGAAAAGG
Non-coding RNA from Zonotrichia albicollis (white-throated sparrow), 641 nucleotides. NCBI's taxonomy places the organism in Eukaryota, Metazoa, Chordata, Aves, Passeriformes, Passerellidae. The record is from RefSeq and is a predicted model, not a curated record.